UUUUUUUGAGACAGGUUUCAAAUCCUUCUGUAAGCACUUAACUAAAGGGGGUGACUAGAUCUCAGUCGAUUUAACCAAGUCCCAGUCAAGUGACAUAAUAUGCAAGAGAGAAAAGAAAAAAAACAAAUUAUUUUUUACGAAUCUUAAUGUAGGAUCUCACGGAUAUAGCAUCGACUGAGACUUAACAAAGUUUCGGUCGACUAAGACUUAGCAAGACUGUUAACUGAAAGUCUGCUAUGAUCUGCCCCCUCUGCAGUUGGAACCACGCGCUCCCUCGCUAACCUCAGCAUUAAGCCGUUAGGUUCCAUUUGCGUGUAAACAUGUACGGCCAUACAAGUCUUAUUAAAAUGUUAUCAAGUAACCACCCCCACUGAACGCCAUUUUCCUAAGAGUGAUAGUGAUACUGCUUGCCAGAAAUUACUAUCUCCCACUCUCACACGGUUUACGCUAGCUGCAAGAUACUACUCCCUCCGUAAACUAAUAUAAAAACAUUUAGAUCAUUAUUUUAGUUAUCUAAACACUAUUAUAUUAGUUUACAGAGGGAGUACUAGAAAGGACACGAGGAUAUUCGUGGAGAAGAGUGACAAGAGCUCUCGUGAUUCUCGUUUCGACGCAUUGCGACGACGUAACGCGCUGUACGAACUUGAUGUAGUUUAUCCGCUUGCUCGCCCAUCUCUUGUGAUUGGGGUGGUAAUUAUUGUAAAGUGCGUCCGUCGGGGGCUCGUAUUUUCAAUAAAAGAUUGCGACCGCGACCGGGUUUUGGUUGUCUUGUCAGAGCAGCUCUCAUGUGCGGCGUGAAUAAAACAGGGACCGUGUGUUGCGUAUGUGGAAGGAUUCGGAGUCCUGUGCUCAGCAGCAGCAGCAGCAGCAGCAGCACAAAACAUACAGCGGCAGCAGCAGUAUUCAUUCAUUCAGCAGGCAGGAGGUCAGCACAAAACAGCAGCAGCAGUUCGGCAGCAUUAAGCAGAGAUUCAACACAAAACAGCAGCAGCAUUAAGCAGCAAUUUAUUAUAUAGCCCAAAACAGCAGCUACAUUAAGCAGCAACAGAGCACAAAACAGCAGGAGCCGGUGCCCAGAUUUACAGCAGACUGUGUGUGAUGGAAGUGGAACAAGGCCUUUUCUCAUCUCGCUAUCACAUGAACACCACGGUGUGUGUGCGCCACCAACAACGACCGCUGGGCGACUCGGGCGCCGCCAUCAACCCUAGCCUAGUCGGGCCUUCCUCCUCCCCGCCGCCGCCGCCGCCGCCGCCGCCGGAGGACGCCGCCGGGCAAAGUCUGCGCGGCCGACGGUGGCGGCGGGGGCUUCCUCUCGUGACGGCCUCUUGCCUCUGUUGGGCAGCGGAUCCGGAGGCAUGUCGGCGCGCGUUGGGACCAUGGGUCUCCAGCGACCGGCGGCUGAGCGCGGCGUCCGCUUGAGGGGCGUGCGCGGCGGCUAUCGGCGGCGUGGCAUCCGCUGCGUCGGGGGUGAGCGGUUGGGGCUGCAGCGUUUGCUAAAUUUGGGCACGACCCAGAUUGGAUGACGUUGUGGUUCUCCAACUUGGGCGGAUGCAUGGCUGGUUGGCUACGUCAUGGGCUCAGCCCUCAUGGCGUUGAUCGUUCCAGCGGCCAGCGAGGACUGGAUCCCGGGGCGGCGGCCUCGGACGGCGGAGGAUGCGGCUGUGGUCUCGCGACGGCCGACAUGGCGGCUGGAUCUUCGCGGCCAGGCGGGGCGUGCUGGCGCGGGGAGGCCGUGGUGAGCUUCUCGGUCCAGAUCUGGAUCGGGGGCUCCUCCGGCCUGCUGCAUGGGCGGCGCGUCCCGUCGGCGGCGGCUGGAUCCCGGGGCGGCGGUCCUGGAAGGUGGUGGCUGGUGAAGCUCAGGCUUCCCCCGGCGGCAUGGCGUGGUGCAGUCCAUAUCCAAGGCGGAUCUGCAUCGGCGAUAUCAUGGUUUGGCCAUGGUUCAGAUCAGAGACGGUGAUGAGUGUGCGGGAUUCAUCCCGGCGGCUCUCGCGGUUUGGCGAGGUGGGGUGGGAGCCCUCCUCCCAGGCUCCAGUGGUGGCGCAUUCAGGCAGUGGCUGGUGCGCCAGGGCUCCUAUGGUGGCACUGCUGUUGUGGUUGGUCGCCGGAUCUAGGCGGCUAGAUCUGGGGCUUUGAAGACGGUCGAGACAUUUCACAUGUUGUCGGGUGGAUUUCUUGGAACGGAUCCGGGUGAAAACUUGGUCUUCGGUCAUUGGCCGGAGCCGGUGAUGACGAUACUCUUAUCAUCGUUUCCUUCAUGAAGGCAUCAUCGAGGUGAAGUUCCCAACCCCACCCAAUACAUCCGGGGGAAACCCUAGAUCAGUUGAUCGGAUGACGGCGACAUUCAUGUGUCGUUACCCCCUUGGGGGCGGCAUUCUUGGAGAUGCACUCGGGCUCGAGGGACCAGCGGAUGGCAUCUGCGGUGGAGCGGUGUUUCUUUCUACAUAUUCAUGGCGGCGGUUCUCAACGGCAUGGAGCAGUGGAGACUUGGCAUCAGAUGUGUGGCGAGGGACACGCGCAGGAGGUCGACGUUGUCUGGCGUCGUGGUGGCGUCGAUGGCAGAGUGGCCUGACAAGGUCGAUACGUCAGUACAUGCUUUGAGGAUGGAUCGAGGGAAGACGGAGGUGACGGCCCUUUGCAGCGUGUGCGUGUGGUACUCACUGAGAGUGCGCCGGACCGGAGUGUUACCCAGUCCCGCCUAUGUGGCUUGGAUGGGGCAUCCGGCGUUAGAUGUUAGGCCUUUGUGCGAUGUCUGUUUGGUAUUUGGCCCGGACAUUCGGCACACCUUCAUCAAGGGGAUAGGAGUAGCGACAAGUGUCGUCUAGAUGGUGGCCUCGGACUUACUGUUGUAUUACCUUAUAAGGGUUGUGUGAAUUAAUAAAUAAUAUGGGCGCAUGCAUCAUCCAGAUGCAGAGGCCGGGGGUGAUUCCUCCUUUUCUAAAAAAAAAAAACCCAACAACGACCAAUGGCAAACAAAAGGGGAACGAGGGCUUUGCUUGUGCGAAACGGGAGCAAACCUUCCUGAGGUUGACACGAUCCAGACGAGAGAGAGAGAGAGAGAGAGAAAUUCUGAAGGAAGUGCCUCGCUUAUGCAUCGCAUUACAGGGAUGUCUGUCUCCGAUCCCAGCGGCAGCGAGGACAGCGACCGGCGGCGCCUCGGGUCAACUCAUCGUCGUCGUGUUUCGUGUGCGUGGCCAGCACUGUACGUGUACCUACAUCUUGUAUUUCUUCAGAAAAUACUCCCUCCAUCUCAAAAUUCUUGUCUUAUAUUCGUCUAAAUACGGAUGUAUCAAGUCACGUUUUAGUAUUAGAUACAUCUGUAUCUAGACAAAUGUAAGAUAAAAAAUUAGAACCGAAGGAGUAGCAUGGAAAUAACAUGCAGGACGGCAACCUAUGAUCAUAAGGGUGGGUUCGUCGCGGCGUCGAAUGAACAGCUGGAGCAUGUCGCAGAUGCAGGGCCGGCGGAAGCAUAUGCAUUACGACAUGGCUUACUAUUGGCGCAGCAACUGGGGAUAAGCAAGCUUAUGGUUGAGUCGGACUGCCUCGAGGUAAUCAAUACUAUGAAUAAUGAAGGCUUCACGGCUUCAAGCACGGCGGCGAUUAAUUCAGAUUGUUUGGUCCUGAUCAUAGGAUACACUUCGGUCACUUUUGUCCAUUGCCCUAGAGAGGCAAAUUCUGUAUCUCACGAUUUAGCUAGGCUGGCGAGGCCGUCCCCUUCACUGUGGGUCGAGGAACCGCCGGCUUUCAUUGUAAAAGGUUUGGUGGACGAUGUAACAGUUAUAUGAUCCAAUAAAGUGACCAAAGUUUAAAAAAAAGCAUGCAUGACGGCAAAAUACCCAGCUCCUGUAGCGCACUGUUUCGGCACCGUCUCUCAGUCUCAGAGGUUGCCUCGUGAUACUCCUGCCUGUUGGCCGCAUGGAUUGAUGACGAUGAUGAUGCAGUGAUGCUGUGAUUUUCUGAAGAUUUGCAAGGUAUCGUAUCGAGACUGACUCAAAAAUGUCUGGCUGGCUCUUGGUCACGCCAUGAAAUACUACUUUCCCUUUAUGCAGAGCGAGCAUGGUCACGCCAUGAAACACAAUGCCAUAUGUUUCAAAUAUUUUUUGGAAACAUGUUUCACUUUAUUUCAGCGAGUUAUUUCCCUUUAUUUAAAGUUUAAGAUUAACAUGGGAUACAAACGCGUGGAGGUGGAUUCGACAGCCACACACGGGUUCCAGACAACACUUCCUUUAUGAUCCUCUCCCUUUCAUGGCUGAAAGAUGAACCCUUUCAGCCUCCAAAAAAAAACCUCCCGCAAAAAAGAUGAAGAAGAUGAACUCAAAGUCAGAUAUGGGCCCUCGCGUGACGAAUAAAGGCCCAAUUCGUCCUAAUAUCGAUCUCAGCCCAGUGUCGCUGCCUGGUUUAUGUGUCCGGUACUCCCAACGUGCUGGGCUAUAUUAAGCCUCGCUGGCUGGCAGUAGCUUUUCUUACGCGCCUGUUGUUACCGUUGCCAUGACGACAACCACCGUGACCUGCUACGCUUGGAGUUGCUCGACACACCAAUGGUGCGGGCAUCAUCACUGUAGGAACAAUGGGCGUGAACGGGAUCAUCGGAGGCGGCGAGCCAAGAACCAUCCCCGGCUGGACUUGGAUUACACCUGGAGCAGCGGCGGCGACCGGCACUGGUGGCACCAUGGCUGUAACCGCCGCUGCCGGCGUCAUGCUGCCGCCGACGGCGACGGACAUCGCGUGGACUUGACGCUGCAGUGACUUGAUGUACCGGAUGGUCAGGUCUAGCGUCGAGGCUUGGCUACACCGCUGAAAUAUGCCGGCGGUGGAUCAUGAUCAACAACUCGGUACGUACUCGUAUUUGCAUAUUUUUGUGCAAGUUCAUCAACUGAAUAUGAGGCAUGGCGACGUGAGUAUAGUACCUUGUCGUCGCAUCCUGGAACGAGAUGUUGCAGGGUCUUUAAGCUCUUAUUUAUCUUGGACCUUCGUCUCUGCGCAUAUAUACAUGCGUUUCUAUGUGUAAUCAAUAACCGGAUCAGAGUGUCACGAUGGAGCUAGUACCUUUUCUGUUUGGCUCUGUGUUCCUCCGCUGGCCGUCCUCCUUGCGGUGGAGUCGCUUGUUGUGUCCUGUGUCACACAACAGUUAUUUUUCAAAAUAAAGACAUAUUAUCUUCCAUAUUAAGAAGAGGACAUAUAAGUACCGUUGCCAUGUUAUGUUUCACUGUCUUCCCGCUCUUCUCCUUCAACAGCUUGUUCGAGCCCUCCGAUGUUAUCACCCAAUUAUCCGACCUCUGCUCGGCAACAUCGUCGUCGUCACCAACACGAUCUUGACCACCACCUGUGAUAAUCGGGUAGAGCCAUGUCGCCAUUUCGUCCUCGGAAGGUGGCACAUGCAACACCUCAGGCCUACGCAAACAUGAUGAGAUGGUGAUGCCUCCUCCUUUCCACGCCAACUCGUAGAGAUCCCCGCUGCAGAACAAGAUAUGUAUGCGGGCUAAUUUAAAUGAUAAAUAGGUACUCCACACUGCUGUAUUUAUUAACGAGCUGUCUAGGAGAAAUGCUAUGAUACCAUGCACCCACACUCAUGUCCAUCCCUCUGUAGUUUUUGCCUUGCAAGUUUCCAAAAUUUGUCCAAAAAAGCAUGGUGAUACAUAUGGGCAAAUAUAUAGUCACUUCCAGCAAAAUUAUAAAAAAUACGACCAUUUAAGCCCUGCAUAAAGAAUAUUUUUCUAAAAUAUCAGAAAAAAAUCACGGUGUUACACAGGGAAAGGGGCGAGCCCGCAAGUUAGGAAACCACAAAAGUUUGCAGACAAGUAUAUCCCGGACUACUCCUAUGACCGAUCUGUCACCCAUACAUGAAGGUCUUGGCCCCGUCCCGCGUGAUGUGGUACAUGCACAUCUUCCAAUAGAGCCGAUGCAAUACAUAUGGAAAUAUAUUUUUUCAUACGAUCCAGAUUGGAUCGAGUUCCACUAUCAUCAGAUAACGACCAAGUACCAGUGGACACAUGUGGUAAAGCAAUCCAAAUUAUUCAAAAUAAUAAUAAUUAUGAAACAAGUCACAAAGCACCGUAGGGUCUUGGCGCAAGAGAACACAAUAAAAAGGUAAACCACCAAGGAACGAAACACCCCCAUGUUACCACCGGAAAUGCUAAACCUACGAAGAGCGUAUGUAAGCUUACGAAACAUGCGCAAGUAAUCUAAGCACCCCCUGCCUAAUCUAAACACCCACCCCUACCUGGUCUGGCCUCGCUGAUCAUCCUCACUGCCUGGCGUCUUUGGAAGGCGUGGAACGCCUGCGUCUUCAAUGGCGUGACCCCCUCGACCUCCCUCCUCGUCAACGACAUCAAGGAAGAUAUGCCCGCGGCUGGGCUGCCGCCGGAGCCAAAAGGCUCAGCAACCUGCUCCCGCCGCCGUAGUAUUCGUCUGUGGGGACUUGCGCAUCCCCCCUUCCUUUGUAUGUGCCCUAGUAGCUCUCGCUUACGCCCUCUCGCGUGUGCUUGCGAGGCUACCUAUGUAAUCAUCACUUCUUUUUCUUCUAUCAAUGCAAUGAUACGCAAAACUUUCAUGUAUUCGCCAACAAAAGAUUUUCGGAGGUGAGCCCCACCCUCCCUUAAAAACCAAUCCUAAUCUUCCAUGUUGGCUGUUACGUAAACCUAAUUAGCUUUCUUACGUGAGUCUAGCGUUGCCCACGUUGCCACCCUACAGGAGAGGUGGCCAACCUGCCGCAUGCACCGCUACUGAAGUUUUAAUGGCCAUAGGACGCCACAAAGCUUGCAAGGGGCAAGGGAAAANNNNNNNNNNNNNNNNNNNNNNNNNNNNNNNNNNNNNNNNNNNNNNNNNNNNNNNNNNNNNNNNNNNNNNNNNNNNNNNNNNNNNNNNNNNNNNNNNNNNNNNNNNNNNNNNNNNNNNNNNNNNNNNNNNNNNNNNNNNNNNNNNNNNNNNNNNNNNNNNNNNNNNNNNNNNNNNNNNNNNNNNNNNNNNNNNNNNNNNNNNNNNNNNNNNNNNNNNNNNNNNNNNNNNNNNNNNNNNNNNNNNNNNNNNNNNNNNNNNNNNNNNNNNNNNNNNNNNNNNNNNNNNNNNNNNNNNNNNNNNNNNNNNNNNNNNNNNNNNNNNNNNNNNNNNNNNNNNNNNNNNNNNNNNNNNNNNNNNNNNNNNNNNNNNNNNNNNNNNNNNNNNNNNNNNNGGUUAGCUUGUAUGCAUGCACGUACUCCCUCCCGUUCGGAAUUAUUUGUCGCAGAAAUGGAUGUAUUUAGACAUAUUUUAGUUCUAGAUACAUUCAUAUCCGAGACAACUAAUUUUGAACGGAGGGAAUAUAAUUUAAGGAGCGAGCUAGCGUGUGUACUUGGAGUACGGGCAGUUGCCGGACUGCUCGAGGAAGUUGCCGACGCGGGAGGCGGAGACGAUGGCCUUGCCGCGGUAGUCGCCGGAGCAGGUUGUCAUCGAUGCCCGCCCGGCCGAGAGUACUGAUUGAUCACUUGCUGCUGGCUGCUUGGCCUUCUGGUAGGUUCCAAGAGGUAUACAAACGAUCUUUUGUACUGUCCAUAUAUAUAGGAGCACCUACCAUCUGCCCGGAACGUAACCCAUCUGUGCCAUUUUGCCUCAAAAGAAAGAAAAGCACAUGCAACUAUCCUACUAGCUUGUACGAGUAGCUCCAUUUUUAAUAAAAAAAAGGAAAAGUGUUCCUUCUCCGAUUCCUAUUGAUAGAAAACAAGGUACUCCCAAUAGUUGGAGUAUAGGGGGUAUAUCACUUGGCUAGACUCUCUCGGGCUAGAGCGUACAGAUGCAUGCAUCCAUGGGUAGGUUCCAGACGUUUCCAUCAUUCCUUGCCGACUUGCGCGUCUGCUCCAUCGGUAGUGGUUUCCCAUAUGCGCAUAUCACGUGAAACCACUCGUUCGGACGAUAAGCAUGCAUGGAACUGCGCGCUCUCACUGUGUAUGCUCUGCAUGGUACUUACGUGCGCCGCCGGUCUAUGCAUUCUUUGCAUGCCAGCGUUGCAUACUAGCUACCUUUUUGACUAAAGUACGUACCUAGUGCCCAGCCAUGUCAUCUACUUCUGAGAUGGCAAAAAUGUCCCACCUCCAAAAGUUUUCCAGUCUAGCUCUAACUUUGAUUCAAAGAUUUUUAUAGGAAUUUCAUAGGAUUGGAAUCCUAGGAGUUUUUUCUAUGUUGUUUGUUUGAUUAAGGUUGUUAGAAUCACGAUUCCGUUAUACGAUUCUACGACUAAACGAUCCAAACAGGCCCCUCCGAUUCUACAAUUUUGGUUCAUAGAAUCUACAUUUCUACGAUCCUGAUAGUGAAGAUUCUAUUAUUUGCGAUCCUACCAUCCGAGGUCCAAUCCGGUUCAAAAUCGUGAUUCUGACGACAAAUGAUUAUUCAUAGAAUUUAAUCCUAUAGAAAGUUUCCUAAGGAUAUUUUCUACUACCUUCCAUAAGCUUUCUAGCAUCCACUAAAACUUAUUUGAAAUAAUCAUUUGGGUUUUUUAUGAUGUAACCAAACAACCAAAAUCAUGUAGGGUUGAAAUGAAAAUAACAUUUAAAUCCUAUGUUUUUUCUAUCCCUGUGUUUUUAGAAUUUCGAGGUUUGGAAAGACCCCUAUUUGGGCAACACUACCUUUCUAAGUUCACUGGUGCAGGGAAGCCUAUGAGUGGCGUGUCGUCCACGCGUCACUAACAAGAAAAAACAUGCAGUUAGUAUCAUUCAUGUGGUAGGCGGCGUGCCCUCUGUACGCCACUAGUAACGCACAUACUAAGGGUUUCCUAUUGGGUUUCGGCUUUCCGUGUUUUUUCUUUCGUUUUUUCCUUUUUUUCUAUUUAUCCUUUCUCUUUUUCUCAACAUACAACUACAUUUUUAAUACACAUUGUAUAUUUUUCAUAUACAUGUUGAACAUUUUUUAAAUACAUUUUUUGAACUCUUUUCAGAUACAUGUUGAACAUAUUUUAGUGGCAUAAACAUUUUUGUAUAACUACAUAAACAUUAAAAAAUUUGUGUGUACAUAUUUUUGGAAUGCAUGAAUAUUUUUAAAUGUUACAUACAUUUCUUUCAAAUGGUACGAAAUAUAUUUUUUGAAGUAUGGAAAUAUUUCCUUAAUAUUGCAAUAACAUUUUCUAGAAAUGACACAAACAUAUUUUUAAAAUGCGUGUGUCGGGGGUUGGGUGCGACAUAUGCCAAAGGAUGGCUUAUCAUGGUGGGGGCGAGUAGAACAUCGCCGGUGCCUGAAAACGGGAUAAGGCGAAGGCAUGCACGCCGGCGAAUCUUACCCAGCUUCGGGGCUCUCCGGGGAGAUAAUACCCCUACUGCUGCUCUGCGGGGUCUCCGCAUGAUCACUGUGGCAAAGCGUUUACACGGUUGCUCCUCGAGCUGUUUCCUGGAGGUAGGAGAAGGCAAGGCUAGCUCUCUCCUUCCUAUAUGAUUUGGUCUAGUGCUAAUGGAUUCCAACCCUUUGCAUGGAUGCCCUGGGGGUUUAUAUAGGCCUACCCCCCCCCAGGGGUACAAUGGUAAUCCGGCUGGGUGCGGGCCCAGCCAUCAGUCUCUCUGGCCGCCGUCUUAUCCGCCGACUCCUGGGGCCCGCCGACUGGUGGGCCCUGCCGACUGGCUCGGUACGGAGCCGAUAGGCCGCGUCCGCCGUGGGCGGGUCUUGCCAGUUGCAGAUUACUGUAGUCGUGUCUCUAAUGAUGCAGGAUCGGUCAUGAGGUCGUGGCGACAGCUUCGCUGUCUGGCGGGCGAUUACUGUGGCCACUACCUGUCAGACUGAUUAAUGGUGCGUGGGGCCCGUGGGAGGGGCCGACCGACUCCUGGUGGCCGACUCCCAUCCGGGCCGACUGGUGGCGCUCUCGCCGUCUUUCGUACGCCCACCGACUGGUGGGACCCAUCAUCCCUGGGUCGUACCGGCAGGCCGUCGUGGGCACAGGACUCCACCCUCUGGGGCUGACGUCAGGGCCGGCAUGGCAAUAGUGUCGCGCCGCGCGGAGAUCUCUGCGGGUACGGCGUACUGUAGCCACGCCUGCCCUUGGAAAAGGGGUGGGAGUGGACCUUACUAUGGCCACUCCCCGUCCCGUCCCUCUUUAUGAGGGCAUGGGGGUUGUUGGCGUCGCGGGCCGACUCCCCAAGGUCGGCUUCUCUGGAAGUCGCCAGUCAGGAGUCGGCUUAUCCUGAAGUCGUCCCUGCCACUCGGCCGCGAGUGGGCAGUCGGCCGCCUCGCUGCCGACUCUCAGAAGGCGGCUCUUCGUCCUGGGGUCUCGAGGGGCGCAGUCUGCCUCAAUGUCUUGAAAUGUUCUGGGCCUGGGUUAGCCUACCCGUGGUCCAUUACUCCGAUAGUAGUCCCCGAAGCUGGUGAGGCUCCGAGGGCGACAUGUCAAGGAGCCUCAACAGUUUCUUCUCUCCGGUGGUUGGAUCUGGGCCUCUCUAGCCGUCCUCUAUCAAGCCGACUAGUUGGAGUCGGACUUGCUCAAGGCCGACUUGCCCCUAGAAAAGUUUGAACGUCGCGGCGAAGUUCAGGCGGUGUGCCUGCUAAGCUUCCGGGUCGCCUCCCAUGGUGGACCCGUCGCGAGGCGCCACGUGGCUGAGCUAGUCUGCUCACCCACGCGCGCGACGGGACAGGCCUAUAGGCGGGGCCCGCCACUACCGCGCCUCGGCAUGCGAACGGAUCCGUUGUGGCCGCGCGGGCGGUUGGGGUUCCCGCGCGGUUAUUGCACGUGGUAACUUCGUGUGGUAAAUCGUGGGGGUUGUGGGGUCCCGGGCGCAGUUAAUCCCAUGACCGCCCCCUCGGCUUCUCAGCCCACGAGCCUACAAGUAGGCGGGGGGAGGGGGCGGCAAAGCACGCGCGCCCAUUCUCCCCACUCCCUUUCGCUCCUUCUUGCUUCUUCUUCCUCUUGUCGUUGCUGCUCCGAAUCACGCCGAGCCCACAGCGAUGAGCUCUUCCUCCGCCGCCGCGCCUCCUGCUGUACGCUCCAGAGUGUGGGAUGGCUCCGAGGUUUACGACGACGACAUCGAGAUCUUCCGCCAGACAUGGCGGCUGCCCGGCAGGGUGCGGGUCCGCCUCGCGCCGGAGGGAGAAAUAUCGCCGGCGUCGGAGGAGGGCGAGCGGGUCAUAUUCCGCUCGCACCUUAUGUGCGGCCUGGGGCUGCCGGCGAGUGGCUUUUUCCGCUCCUUCUUGGAGUUCCACGGGCUCCAGCCGCACCACCUUACUCCGAACACGGUGGUGCUGCUGGCUGCCUUCGCCGCCCUGUGCGAAGGCUUCCUCGGUGUUUUCCCCACCAUCGAGCUCUGGGGUGAGUUCUUCCAGUCCAAGCUCGGCACACACGUCGCUGGCGUGCCGACCCAGUGCGGUGCAUUCAUCGCGAUGCGGAGUUCAGUGGCCGACAAUCCGUUUCCCACCAUCGCACUGAUUAAGCAUGCAUGAAACUACGCGCUCUCACUGUGUAUGCUCUGCAUGGUACUUAUGUGCGCCGCCGUUCUAUGCAUUCUUUGCAUGCCAGCGUUGCAUACUAGCUACCUUUUUGACUAAAGAACGUACCUAGUGCCCAGCCAUGUCAUCUACUUCUGAGAUGGCAAAAAUGUCCCACCUCCAAAAGUUUUCUAGCCUAGCUCUAACUUUGAUUCAAAGAUUUUUAUAGGAAUUUCAUAGGAUUGGAAUCCCAGGAGUUUUUUCUAUGUUGUUUGUUUGAUCAAGGUUGUUAGAAUCACGAUUCCGUUAUACGAUUCUACAACUUUACGACCCAACUGGCCCCUCUGAUUCUACAAUUUUGGUUCAUAGAAUCUACAUUUCUACGAUCUUGAUAGUGAAGAUUCUAUUAUUUGCGAUCCUAUCAUCGGAGCUCCGAUCCAAUUCAAAAUCGCGAUUCUGACAACAAAUGAUUAUUCAUAGAAUUUGAUCCUAUAGAAAGUUUCCUAAGGAUAUUUUUUACUACCUCCCAUAGGCUUUCUAGCAUCCACUAAAACUUAUUUUAAAUAAUCAUUUGCAUUUUUUAUGAUGUAACCAAACAACCAAAAUCCUGUAGGGUUGAAAUGAAAAUGACAUUUAAAUCCUAUGGUUUUUCUAUCCCUGUGUUUUUAGAAUUUCGAGGUUCAAAAAGACCCCUACUUGGGCAACACUACCUUUCUAAGUUCACCGGUGCAGGGAAGCCAAUGAGUGGCAUGUCGUCCACGCGUCACUAACAAGAAAAAAAAUACAGUUAGUAUCAUUCAUGUGGUAGGCGGCGUGCCCUCUGUACGCCACUAGUAAUGCACAUACUAAGGGUUUCCUAUUGGGUUUCGGCUUUCUGUGUUUCUUCUUUCGUUUUUUUCCUUUUUUUCUCUCUUUAUCCUUUCUCUUUUUUGCAACAUACAUCUACUUUUUUCAAUACACAUUGUGUCGUGGAAUUAUCACGGCAGAUGUCCUAGCAGAAGGACUUAGCCGUAGGGCCAUCGCAACUAGGAAGCUUAAAGGGGUUAAUCGGGACAAGGGACACGAGAGGUUUAUACUAGUUCGGCCCCUUACGAUGAAGGUAAAAGCCUACAUCUAGUUGUGUUGGCAUUGCUGGGGUUUUGAUCACCAAGAGGCUAAUCCGCCGGCUUGGUUAUCGAUCUCUUGUUUUCUUGCCCUAAGCCGCCUCCGGAUCGUCCCCUUAUAUACACGGGUUGACGCCUGGCGGCCUACGGAGUCCCGACCGGCUCAUAAAGCAUGUCCGGCUUGGUGACUUCUUUUAUAUGCCUUUCUUUACAAGUUUUUCCUUACAUACGGCGGUUUACAAUAUUGGGCCUUAAGCCGCCUCUGGGCUUAGGCCUUCUAUAAGCCUUAAUAAACUAUCGUCUUGAAUGUUUACUGGGCUUCCUUUGUGACCCGCCAUUGGGGCUGACCCGGCCCCUCCUGAGCGGGUCAUACCUGAUAGCUAUAUCCCCAACAUUAGGCCCCAGGUUGACUUUGAACUUUGUUCUUUGUCAAUCUUCAAUACUUAGACAAAAUCCAUCUUCCUUUCUUCGCAGAAAUUUUUUGUAACCCGCCAUGACGUCAUUUCUUGAAAACACGAAAAACUAUUAUGACGUCAUCUCUCAACGGAUCUUUAUUCUUUAAUGAAUUUCGAGUAUCGAGGCGUCCGUUUAGUUGGAUAAUCAUUAUUCGGGUCUUCCUCGAUUUUCGCGCCCGCCUGUUCGCUUAUCCCCUUAUAAAUAGGCACGCCCGGUCUUUCUCAUUCUUCUCUCUUCUUCGUCUUCUUCCUCACGCAACCCCCGCUGCUGCUCGAGCUCCGCCGCCGUCAGAGAGCACCUCUCCUCCGUCGACUUUGGCCCCUGCAUCGACCCGAAUCAGUCCAGAGAACGGCGGUGACUCUCCGUGGAAGAUCUGUGGCUGUAAGCGUUUCCCUUCUUGCUCCUUAGAUCUGCAUUAGGGCUUUCUAGGUUUUUGCAUGUUCUUCGUAGUUCAUCGCAGUUUCUUCAUAGUUCUUCCACUGCAGCCUCUUCUUGAUCUAGAAAGAGAUAUAUGUUUGUGCGGUAGUUGUUUUGUGCCUACUCUUGAUACUACUAGAUCCCUUUUCCCAGUAUAAAGGCCUCAUUAGGACUCACAAACUCAUCUGCGCUGAACUUUUAGGUCUAGAAUUUUUUUUCCAUUUUGAAUAGCCAUUUGAUCUGGAAUAAUAUCAAGCAAUUAGGAAACUUGUUUGUCUCAACACUUUGCCGAAUCUGCUUUCUCAAAUAUCUGUAGUCAUGGCGGCUUGUUGCGCCAACUUACUUUUCCUUAUAUGACAUUAGCCCUUACUUAAGCCGCCAUUACUCCCCUGUACCAUCAUCACUUAAUUUCACCAUUAUCAUUGAAUUGAACCGGCAUGUUGCUUUAUUUUUAGUUCGUCUUUUGAACAUCAUGCCGUCCAAAGCACCGACUGUCUGCAACUGGGUUCCCUCAACAGUGACUGAGGAUAAUUUGAAGGACUUCUUCUCCAUAGGAUUUUUGCCAGGGAAGAAUGUUAUGUCUUACCGUGCACCUCACCCGGACGAGGAAUGGCCCAAUCCAAAAGAUGCUGAAGUCAUUAUCUUUUCUCACCACAUGAACUGUGGCUUUUCACCGCCCGGCUCAAAGUUCUUCAGAGAUGUCCUCCAUUUUUUCAAACUCCACCCUCAAGAUCUCGGGCCCAACUCCAUAUCCAAUAUCUACAAUUUCCAAGUUCUCUGUGAGGUGUACCUUCAAGAAGAACCGACUGUGGAACUCUUUAGAGAGUAUUUUUAUCUGAACCGCCAGAACGAGUGUACCAAUGGCCCUAGCUUGGAACUUGGAGGCAUCUCAAUUCUGCGUCGACAGGGCGCCGUCUUCCCUCUAAUAGUCUUGCCGAGUCAUCCCAAAGACUGGAAUCAGGCUUGGUUCUAUUGUCAAGACACUUCACCAGCAAAUGAGAAGCCACUGUCGGGUUAUCGCGCAGAGCGACUUGACUCCAAGUUUGCGCUCCCUGACAAACUCACUGCCGCCGAACGCAAGAAGCUUAUGCCAUCAAUCAAAAGGAUUAACGCCUUAUUGGGGAACGGCUUAACUGGAGUUGACUUGACCCAUUGAUAGGUCUCAUGGCGGGUCAUCCCUCUAAGCCGUCGAUCCAAAUUGAUGUAUGAAUAUGGUGGUGGCCCAAAUGACUCUCUUCAUCAUAGCUCCGUUCAACUUACUGAAGAAGAUAUUGUUUCAAUGUCAACUCUUCUAGUGAACGGCAAGUAUGAAGACUGCAGUAAAGUCGGGUUAAACCCGUUCUGCAAACUUAACCCGGCGCCAGAGGUAAAGGACCUCUGACCUCUUUCUCUUUGUAUUUUUCUCAGCCGUUUUAAAUACCUGCAUGACCUUUCAUCUUGUUUAUUUGUUUACAUGCCAAAUCUGAUUUCUGGAAAGCCAAGUAUGACCACAAAGCCGCCAAUAAGGCUAGAGCCGCCGCCAUGACCGCCAAGAAGACGACCCAGAGGUCUAAGAAGAAUAAGAAGGCCACCGUUGAGGACCUCUUAAAGCUUGACGACGAUACUUCUGAGUCGGAGGUAGCCCUUGACUCCCUUGGCCAGUUUUUUAAUAACCUUAUUGACACUGAUUAUUGCCAGGACGACACAGGGGCCAGUCAGGCCGGAGAAGAAGAGGUAAUUACUUCCUCCGACUCAGACCAUUUGCCGAGACAGAAACUUCGACUGGUAACCUGGAAAGUAAGGUUUUCGCACCCUUUGGCUUAUUUGGACCCUCAUUUUCUUUUGAAAAAGCAGCAACACGAGAGCCGUCGUCAAGCCCAGAACGAUGAUGAGCCGCCUCCUGUUGUACAACAAACUCCUAAAAACGCCAAAAUGAGGUCUCUUUUAUAUUCCUCUUCGGCUUUCAUUAAUGAAUAUAUUCUCUUGUGCUACUGACGUUAUUUGCCCUUUGAAGGAGGUUUCUCGCUCUUCUGGCGACUCCUCUCAGACACAAUUUCCGGCCUUCAAAACUGCCCAUGGGUAAGGAAACAAUCAUCUUUCCUCCGUGUUUCUCAAACUGCAACUUUAUAUUGACAGUCUCAUAACAUCUUUCUUAGUGGCCAAGCUAAGUCCAAGAAGGCCAAGGUGACUAAGCCGGCGGAAGACUCGUCAGUCCUUGCGCCUGAACCGGCCAUGCCACCUUCUCCCCCUCAAACUGAAGCACCAGAAGACCCGGCUGCCAAUGCUCAAUUAGAUCGUCCUGAGCCGUCAGCUGACGAUACCAUCGUUAACCCCUCUACUACCGGACCGUCCAGCUCGGCCAACCCGCCAUCAUCGUCUUCCCAUGACGUUCUGAUUACUGGAAGCCGUUUUGUUGAGCCGGGGACUCCCACCGUGUUGGCUCGUCACACCGCUAAACAAGAGGCCUUGGAGAGACAAAAAGUGCGUUUUGAUGUUUCUCACUACAACCAUCUGAACGCCAAUGACAUAUUGUCUGGCUAUCUCAGCCAUGUGCACUCCAGCCGUGACUCGAAAGUCGAGAUGGUGAAGCAAUUGCAGCUGAAGUAUGAGGUAUGCUCUUCCGGCUUACUUAUAUUCUGCCAGCCCCCAAGUCUUUAGAUUAUGAUAAAACCUGAAUGAUCUGUAGACUUAUGAUAUAGGCUAAAGCUUUACCCUUAGAUUUUUCUAAAGUCCAACAGAAUAGUAUAAACUUCACUUAUAGUCCCCAAGGGCCGGCUCGAUGGAUCAAAAUGAACCGGUACUUAACUUCAGAAUUGUCACUACAAGAAAUAUGUCAACUUGUGACCACCACUAUUGGUCACUGAAAGGUCAUUGUUUUUCAUUUGUGACCUUUUUUUGACCAAAAACAGAAGGUCAAAAGCUGGCGAUCGUAAACUGAAAUUAACGACCUUCUCUGUGAUAUGUAAAAGGUCGUUGGUUCUUUGACCAAAAUUUUGGUCACUAGCAACCUCCCCAGGCCACGUAGGAAUCCAGCGUGGCAAGCUGACAUGGAUAAGAAUCAGUCCAGUCCAAUUCGGUGUUUUACAUGGGCCGAGCCCAUUAAUUCAGCAUUUUUAAUAUUUAUUUUUCCUGUUAAUUUUCGCUAGCUAUAUGGGCUUGGGCCAUUGAUUCGGCCUUUUUUUCUAAGAUGCAGCCUAGACCAACAAUUCAGCCUUUUUAGUUUUGGGUUGCGGCCUUUUUCCUUUUUUGCAAAUGGGUCCCAAUUGUCAGGUUCUAAAUGGGCCCCAAAUGUUUGAUUCUAGUUUGUGGGUCCUUGUUGUCAUGGUCAUGUUCCUCAGAUUUCAAUAUGCCAGUAAUUAAACCAGUAUUUAAAUCAAAAUAGACAGAAAACAGAUGUAAUACUUCAAAUAACAAGAAGCAAUAUGUUACAUCAUCUAACACACAUACAAAUGUGAUCACACAUACAAAUGCGAUCACAGUAUAAUAAGCUCUACAAGUGGAUCACAUGAGCCAAGUUCGUGCUUCAGUUUGUUCCAACAGAUCAGCAUCAAGGGCUUCAUUACUCCUUGAACUAGCUCCAAUGAGCUAGAACUAUGCUUCUUCCGACUUCUUCGUCUUGUUGCUCGCGACAAAACAUGAAAGGCCAGCAUGUGCAUGUUAUAGAACAAAAUGGUUAGAAACAAAAUAAAAGCAAAUCUAACAGCAGAUACAAAAAUAAUGAAGGCCAUUCUGUGUGCAUAUAUACCAGCAGAACACAUAAACCCAUCCAUAAAAAUCUUGUUUUUGAACAUUGGCAUCAAAUCAACACAAACACUGAAUUAACAUGCACGAAAGGAAAGAGCUAAUACAAGGCAGGUAUAUGGGUAUCAAAACUAACAAGAAAGGAACAACAAUCUAUUUUAAGUAUUUCAGGUUUGAGGCAUUUUCGAUACUACAAUCAAUAUAUAACAGCCAACAUUUCAAUCCAUGGACACCACAUGACAGAAAAGGUACUAAGGCACUUGCUACAUAAAACCAAAGCAAGGUACAUAGCACAUGCAUGCCAACAAUAAAUUGGUACCAAAUCCAGAAAUCAUCGUCUGAAAUGAAGUUAAUGAGAAAUUUUAGAAUCAAUUUAACAGUUGAUAGUAAUGUUUGCAUUGGACACAUCCAGAACUAAAAUUAUACAUACACGCCGAAAUUCCGAUGGCCAAUGCCUCAAUAUAGUAAACACUAAGCAUGGGACAUAGUAAAGAUUUGACACAACCAGAACUGAAAGCAUUCACUCCAUCAAGCAUAUCUACAAUGCAGCACACAAGAAAAGAGAGAUAUGCAACGGGGUAGCAAUGACAUACAGAUAAUCACUUAACAAGCAGCACGAACAUGAAUAAAUCACAUAACUAAGUACAACCAAGUAUCCCAGCUGAGAGCAAACAUGUAUUCAACAUUUCUGCCAUUUCGAUACAUGCACGACAAAGAGUGGCGCUCAUUUCUUACCACGGCAAAAGGAAGAGAUGACCCCAGACAAUGCCCUACUUCUCCAGGUCGCACUCAAGGCUCAACCAACUCCCCGGGGUACAACCAAGUAUCCCAGCUGAGAGCAAACAUGUAUUCAACAUUUCUGCCAUUUUGAUACAUGCACGACAAAGAGUGGCGCUCAUUUCUUACCACGGCAAAAGGAAGAGAUGACCCCAGACAAUGCCCUACUUCUCCAGGUCGCACUCAAGGCUCAACCAACUCCACGGUGUGGACGAUGACCCCUCCUUGCUCCGUCCGGACGGCGGGGUGCAAACUCGGAAGCCCUGCACAUUACAACUUGCAUCAAUGCAGCAGCCAUACAAGGAACUGAUAUCAAGCAGAGCACAAAUUGAGAGAAAGUUACUGUCCAGGAG
RNAcentral lists this long non-coding RNA (18190 nucleotides) under Triticum aestivum (bread wheat). Its description in RNAcentral is "long non-coding RNA (TAES_LNC006414)". The stretch from base 3231 to 3364 matches the Rfam family "MIR1120/MIR1122 microRNA precursor family". Lineage: Eukaryota; Viridiplantae; Streptophyta; Magnoliopsida; Poales; Poaceae. The record is from RNAcentral.